GAUGAACGCUGGCGGCGUGCCUAAUACAUGCAAGUCGAGCGAACAGACGAGGAGCUUGCUCCUCUGACGUCAGCGGCGGACGGGUGAGUAACACGUGGAUAACCUACCUAUAAGACUGGGAUAACUUCGGGAAACCGGAGCUAAUACCGGAUAAUAUAUUGAACCGCAUGGUUCAAUAGUGAAAGACGGUUUUGCUGUCACUUAUAGAUGGAUCCGCGCCGCAUUAGCUAGUUGGUAAGGUAACGGCUUACCAAGGCAACGAUGCGUAGCCGACCUGAGAGGGUGAUCGGCCACACUGGAACUGAGGCGCGGUCCAGACUCCUACGGGAGGCAGCAGUAGGGAAUCUUCCGCAAUGGGCGAAAGCCUGACGGAGCAACGCCGCGUGAGUGAUGAAGGUCUUCGGAUCGUAAAACUCUGUUAUUAGGGAAGAACAAAUGUGUAAGUAACUAUGCACGUCUUGACGGUACCUAAUCAGAAAGCCACGGCUAACUACGUG
Molecule: ribosomal RNA, 497 nt
Filed under: uncultured bacterium
Lineage: Bacteria
Description: partial 16S ribosomal RNA
Rfam family: Bacterial small subunit ribosomal RNA
Source: RNAcentral